GGGGUUGUAGCUCAGUGGUAGAGCACUUGCCCUGUAUGCAUGAGGUCCUGGGUUCAAUCCUCAAUACCCCA
RNAcentral lists this transfer RNA (71 nucleotides) under Marmota monax (woodchuck). It matches the Rfam family "tRNA". Rfam says of the family: Transfer RNA (tRNA) molecules are approximately 80 nucleotides in length. Their secondary structure includes four short double-helical elements and three loops (D, anti-codon, and T loops). The record is from Rfam by way of RNAcentral. Lineage: Eukaryota; Metazoa; Chordata; Mammalia; Rodentia; Sciuridae.